AGAGUUUGAUCAUGGCUCAGGAUGAACGCUAGCUACAGGCUUAACACAUGCAAGUCGAGGGGCAGCUAUGAACUUAGCUUGCUAAGUUUGAUGGCGACCGGCGCACGGGUGAGUAACACGUAUCCAACCUGCCGAUGACCCGGGGGAUAGCCUUUCGAAAGAAAGAUUAAUACCCGAUGGCAUAGUUCUUCCGCAUGGUAGAACUAUUAAAGAAUUUCGGUCAUCGAUGGGGAUGCGUUCCAUUAGGUUGUUGGCGGGGUAACGGCCCACCAAGCCUUCGAUGGAUAGGGGUUCUGAGAGGAAGGUCCCCCACAUUGGAACUGAGACACGGUCCAAACUCCUACGGGAGGCAGCA
RNAcentral lists this ribosomal RNA (355 nucleotides) under uncultured bacterium. RNAcentral's name for it is "bacterial SSU rRNA". It matches the Rfam family "Bacterial small subunit ribosomal RNA", at positions 8 to 353 of the family's 1533-position model. The record is from RNAcentral.